UAGAGUUUGAUCAUGGCUCAGGAUGAACGCUGGCGGCGUGCUUAACACAUGCAAGUCGAACGAAGCGCUUGAGAACAAUUCUUCGGAGGCGUUCUUUAGUGACUGAGUGGCGGACGGGUGAGUAACGCGUGGGUAACCUGCCCUAUACAGGGGGAUAACAGUUAGAAAUGACUGCUAAUACCGCAUAAGCGCACAGGACCGCAUGGUUCGGUGUGAAAAACUGAGGUGGUAUAGGAUGGACCCGCGUCUGAUUAGCUUGUUGGUGGGGUAACGGCUCACCAAGGCGACGAUCAGUAGCCGGCCUGAGAGGGCGACCGGCCACAUUGGGACUGAGACACGGCCCAAACUCCUACGGGAGGCAGCAGUGGGGAAUAUUGCACAAUGGGGGAAACCCUGAUGCAGCGACGCCGCGUGAGUGAAGAAGUAUUUCGGUAUGUAAAGCUCUAUCAGCAGGGAAGAAAAUGACGGUACCUGACUAAGAAGCCCCGGCUAACUACGUGCCAGCAGCCGCGGUAAUACGUAGGGGGCAAGCGUUAUCCGGAUUUACUGGGUGUAAAGGGAGCGCAGACGGCAGCGCAAGUCCGGGGUGAAAGCCCGCGGCCCAACCGCGGGACUGCCCUGGAAACUGUGCGGCUGGAGUGCCGGAGAGGUAAGCGGAAUUCCUAGUGUAGCGGUGAAAUGCGUAGAUAUUAGGAGGAACACCAGUGGCGAAGGCGGCUUACUGGACGGUAACUGACGUUGAGGCUCGAAAGCGUGGGGAGCAAACAGGAUUAGAUACCCUGGUAGUCCAC
This 791-nucleotide ribosomal RNA is filed under the name uncultured bacterium. Its description in RNAcentral is "bacterial SSU rRNA". It matches the Rfam family "Bacterial small subunit ribosomal RNA", at positions 1 to 798 of the family's 1533-position model. The record is from RNAcentral.